UUUUUUUUUUUUUUUGAGAUUACAGCUGGACUGAAGGGUGCAAAAGAGUAGGCCUCUUACUGGUUCUCAUAAACCACCAUCCUAUAGGAAAUGCCAGCUCAACCUAAAGGGGCCUUCAGGAUUCCCUGCACACACCCCCCCUUCUCCAGGCAGGCUGCCCAGGCCAGGAUGUGGAUGGGAACUGUCAACAGACACUCUUUAAAUAUUUACCCACACUUUCUGGGUGGGGGCAGCAUCCCCAUGCCCAAGACUGGACAAAUUCAAGUUGAUUCUAAUGGGAAAAAAAAUAACCUUGGUCUACGAACACCCUUCUCCGGCCAUGGUGUUGGCAGUUACGUGGGCUUAAUUCAGAGAGAAAAGAGGAGCCAGCAGAAGAGCAAUGUGUGUGCAUGUGGGCUAUUGUGCUCAUGAAUGAAGAUGAAUAAGGAUGAUUUUUUCUGUCUUCUUCUUCUACAGUAUGUGGGGCUACCUUGGAGCACACCCGGAACACACACACACACACACACACACACACACACACACACACACACACUG
This 534-nucleotide long non-coding RNA is filed under the name Rattus norvegicus (Norway rat). RNAcentral describes it as "long non-coding RNA NONRATT027369". Lineage: Eukaryota; Metazoa; Chordata; Mammalia; Rodentia; Muridae. The record is from RNAcentral.